RNAcentral lists this ribosomal RNA (503 nucleotides) under uncultured bacterium. Its description in RNAcentral is "partial 16S ribosomal RNA". It matches the Rfam family "Bacterial small subunit ribosomal RNA", at positions 30 to 523 of the family's 1533-position model. The record is from RNAcentral.
AUUGAACGCUGGCGGCAGGCUUAACACAUGCAAGUCGAGCGGGGUGAUGGUGCUUGCACUAUCACUUAGCGGCGGACGGGUGAGUAAUGCUUAGGAAUCUGCCUAUUAGUGGGGGACAACAUCUCGAAAGGGAUGCUAAUACCGCAUACGUCCUACGGGAGAAAGCAGGGGAUCACUUGUGACCUUGCGCUAAUAGAUGAGCCUAAGUCGGAUUAGCUAGUUGGUGGGGUAAAGGCCUACCAAGGCGACGAUCUGUAGCGGGUCUGAGAGGAUGAUCCGCCACACUGGGACUGAGACCCGGCCCAGACGCCUACGGUAGGCAGCAGUGGGGAAUAUUGGACAAUGGGGGGAACCCUGAUCCAGCCAUGCCGCGUGUGUGAAGAAGGCCUUAUGGUUGUAAAGCACUUUAAGCGAGGAGGAGGCUCUUUUGGUUAAUACCCAAGAUGAGUGGACGUUACUCGCAGAAUAAGCACCGGCUAACUCUGUGCCAGCCGCCGCGGUAA